GGGAAUAUUGGACAAUGGGCGCAAGCCUGAUCCAGGCAUGCCGCGUGAGUGAUGAAGGCCUUAGGGUUGUAAAGCUCUUUUACUCGGGAAGAUAGUGACGGUACCGAGGGAAUAAGCCCCGGCUAACUUCGUGCCAGCAGCCGCGGUAAUACGAAGGGGGCUAGCGUUGUUCGGAUUUACUGGGCGUAAAGCGCACGUAGGCGGAUCUUUAAGUCAGGGGUGAAAUCCCGAGGCUCAACCUCGGAACUGCCUUUGAUACUGGGGAUCUUGAGUCCGGAAGAGGUGAGUGGAACUGCGAGUGUAGAGGUGAAAUUCGUAGAUAUUCGCAAGAACACCAGUGGCGAAGGCGGCUCACUGGUCCGGAACUGACGCUGAGGUGCGAAAGCGUGGGGAGCAAA
RNAcentral lists this ribosomal RNA (398 nucleotides) under uncultured bacterium. RNAcentral describes it as "bacterial SSU rRNA". It matches the Rfam family "Bacterial small subunit ribosomal RNA", at positions 357 to 772 of the family's 1533-position model. The record is from RNAcentral.